AGCCUGAUGCAGCCAUGCCGCGUGUAUGAAGAAGGCCUUCGGGUUGUAAAGUACUUUCAGCGAGGAGGAAGGCGGUGAGGUUAAUAACCUCAUCGAUUGACGUUACUCGCAGAAGAAGCACCGGCUAACUCCGUGCCAGCAGCCGCGGUAAUACGUAGGUGGCGAGCGUUGUCCGGAUUUACUGGGCGUAAAGGGUGCGUAGGCGGAUGUUUAAGUGAGAUGUGAAAUACCCGGGCUUAACCCGGGGGCUGCAUUUCAAACUGGACAUCUGGAGUGCAGGAGAGGAGAAUGGAAUUCCUAGUGUAGCGGUGAAAUGCGUAGAGAUUAGGAAGAACACCAGUGGCGAAGGCGAUUCUCUGGACUGUAACUGACGCUGAGGCACGAAAGCGUGGGUAGCAAACA
This 402-nucleotide ribosomal RNA is filed under the name uncultured bacterium. RNAcentral's name for it is "bacterial SSU rRNA". It matches the Rfam family "Bacterial small subunit ribosomal RNA", at positions 380 to 774 of the family's 1533-position model. The record is from RNAcentral.